Long non-coding RNA from Heterocephalus glaber (naked mole-rat), 1155 nucleotides. The record is from Ensembl. Lineage: Eukaryota; Metazoa; Chordata; Mammalia; Rodentia; Bathyergidae.
GUCUGCUUCUCUAAGUGAUACUCCGGCCACGUGGCGGCGGCCCUGGCUGCUCUGAAGGCGGUGGUCACUAACCUCAGACCUUGGGAUAGUGCCUGGCGUCCCUGCUGACUUUAGGGGAAAAGCCCACCCCGUGGAGGCGCAGUUGGUCAGGACCUCGGACAGGGACCCUGGCUCCAAAUCGUUAUCCGCGCCUUCUCUGGUUUUUCCCUGCUUUCCUUUCCCUCUCUUCCGGGCCAGCCUUGAGCACGAAGCCUGGGAGGCGUCGCCUGGCACCUUUCACUGUUUCAGCACCCGCAGGCAGGGCCCGAGGUGGAGGCGGGGAUCUGAGUCUGGCCUCACUCCGCCUAAGCUCUAGCUGUCCCUGGGGUCUCCUGCCAGACCACAACGUGGGGGCCGAGCUUGUGGGCCCCAGCUGGCCCCUCCUGAACAUGCGGCUAAGCUCAGCAUGGUGACACUCCUAUAACCCAGCAGCACUCGGGAGCCAGAGGCUGGAGGGUUGCUAGUUUGAAGCCAGCCUGGGGAAUAUUGCGAGCCCCUGGCUCAAAACAAAACUAAACUAAACUAACACUGUGACUGCCUCUCUGUCGGUCCUUCUGUGCAUCUGGAAGCAAGGGUGGCUGGACCACACUCUGGGAUCGAGACUGAUGAGCAACUCUAUGCGCUAGACACGGGACAUUGUCAGCGUCCUGUGCUUCAGCCCCAGCUGCCACUAGCUCUGUGCCACCAAAGGUCCAGCAACAAGAUCCAGGGCUUGGAGGGCAACAUCAUCAUCCCAGAAAUCAAGGUUACAAUGCUGAGGACCUGCAUUACAGAUGAAGAAACCAAGGCGCAGAGAGGGUGGUCAAACAGGACCCCACAGCUCACCCAGACUGGAGACCCCAGAAACUCGGCCCUGUGAGUAGACACCGGUGCAGGAUGACAACUUUGAGCCACGAGUGAGGACGAGGUGACUCCACCAAUCCAUCCAUUCAUGCAGCAAAUACUCACUGAGCACCUGCUAUGUGCCAAGCACUGCUCAGGCAGCUGGCAGCAUCAGUGACCAAGACAAACCAGGUCCACUUCUCAUGAAACUCCCAUUGUGUUAAACAAGAAAUAAAGAAGAAAAGAUGAAACGUCAUGGCCACUAGGUGCUCUGCAGAGGGUUAGACGGUGGAG